This 71-nucleotide transfer RNA is filed under the name Caudoviricetes sp. Its description in RNAcentral is "tRNA-Leu". It matches the Rfam family "tRNA". From Rfam's summary of the family: Transfer RNA (tRNA) molecules are approximately 80 nucleotides in length. Their secondary structure includes four short double-helical elements and three loops (D, anti-codon, and T loops). Further hydrogen bonds mediate the characteristic L-shaped molecular structure. tRNAs have two regions of fundamental functional importance: the anti-codon, which is responsible for specific mRNA codon recognition, and the 3' end, to which the tRNAs corresponding amino acid is attached (by aminoacyl-tRNA synthetases). tRNAs cope with the degeneracy of the genetic code in two manners: having more than one tRNA (with a specific anti-codon) for a particular amino acid; and 'wobble' base-pairing, i.e. permitting non-standard base-pairing at the 3rd anti-codon position. The record is from RNAcentral. Lineage: Duplodnaviria; Heunggongvirae; Uroviricota; Caudoviricetes.
CGCGGAAUGGUGUAAUGUUAGCAUAUUGGUUUCAGAAGCCAAAGGUAAAAGUUCAAUUCUUUUUUCCGCAA